CUCAGGGAGGUAGUGACAAGAAAUAACAACACUGGAAAUUUUAUUUCUAGUGAUUGGAAUGAUGGGAAUUUAAACCCCUUUCAGAGUAACAAUUGGAGGGCAAGUCUGGUGCCAGCAGCCGCGGUAAUUCCAGCUCCAAUAGCGUAUAUUAAAGUUGUUGCAGUUAAAAAGCUCGUAGUUGGAUGUCUGCUGGAAGCAAUCAGUCCGCCCUAUUUGUAGGGUGUGCACUUGAUGAAUUCUGGCAUCUAUGUCCUAAUGUGAUAGAUACGGCGGUGUAUAUGGGUUAAUCCUAUAUACCCGUUUUUGUAUAUUAUAUUGGGAUAAUACCGUUACUUUGAGAAAAUUAGAGUGUUUGAAGCAGGCUAAUUGCCUUGAAUACUGCAGCAUGGAAUAACAAUAUAGGAUUUCGGUUCUAUCUUGUUGGUUUCUAGGACUGAAAUAAUGAUUAAUAGGGACAGUUGGGGGCAUUCGUAUUUAACUGUCAGAGGUGAAAUUCUUAGAUUUGUUAAAGACGAACUACUGCGAAAGCAUUUGCCAAAGAUGUUUUCAUUAAUCAAGAACGAAAGUUAGGGGCUCGAAGACGAUCAGAUACCGUCGUAGUCUUAACCAUAAACUAUGCCGACUAGAGAUAGGAAAAUGUCAUUUUUCUGACUU
Molecule: ribosomal RNA, 654 nt
Filed under: Sarcocystis hjorti
Lineage: Eukaryota; Apicomplexa; Conoidasida; Eucoccidiorida; Sarcocystidae
Description: SSU rRNA
Rfam family: Eukaryotic small subunit ribosomal RNA
Source: RNAcentral